This 429-nucleotide ribosomal RNA is filed under the name Gemmatimonadota bacterium. RNAcentral describes it as "Gemmatimonadetes bacterium partial 16S ribosomal RNA". It matches the Rfam family "Bacterial small subunit ribosomal RNA", at positions 355 to 776 of the family's 1533-position model. Lineage: Bacteria; Pseudomonadati; Gemmatimonadota. The record is from RNAcentral.
UAGGGAAUCUUCGGCAAUGGACGAAAGUCUGACCGAGCAACGCCGCGUGAGUGAAGAAGGUUUUCGGAUCGUAAAACUCUGUUGUUAGAGAAGAACAAGGACGUUAGUAACUGAACGUCCCCUGACGGUAUCUAACCAGAAAGCCACGGCUAACUACGUGCCAGCAGCCGCGGUAAUACGUAGGUGGCAAGCGUUGUCCGGAUUUAUUGGGCGUAAAGCGAGCGCAGGCGGUUUCUUAAGUCUGAUGUGAAAGCCCCCGGCUCAACCGGGGAGGGUCAUUGGAAACUGGGGGACUUGAGUGCAGAAGAGGAGGGUGGACUUCCAUGUGUAGCGGUGAAAUGCGUAGAUAUAUGGAGGAACACCAGUGGCGAAGGCGGCUCUCUGGUCUGUAACUGACGCUGAGGCUCGAAAGCGUGGGGAGCAAACAGG